UACGGAGGAUGCGAGCGUUAUCCGGAUUUAUUGGGUUUAAAGGGUGCGUAGGCGGGCUGAUAAGUCAGCGGUGAAAUGUACCGGCUUAACCGGUGAACUGCCAUUGAUACUGUCGGUCUUGAGUGCAGAUGAGGUAGGCGGAAUGUGUGGUGUAGCGGUGAAAUGCAUAGAUAUCACACAGAACACCGAUUGCGAAGGCAGCUUACUAAGGUGCCACUGACGCUGAGGCACGAAAGUGUGGGGAU
RNAcentral lists this ribosomal RNA (245 nucleotides) under uncultured Bacteroidales bacterium. RNAcentral describes it as "partial 16S ribosomal RNA". It matches the Rfam family "Bacterial small subunit ribosomal RNA", at positions 524 to 768 of the family's 1533-position model. Lineage: Bacteria; Pseudomonadati; Bacteroidota; Bacteroidia; Bacteroidales. The record is from RNAcentral.